This 258-nucleotide ribosomal RNA is filed under the name uncultured bacterium. Its description in RNAcentral is "partial 16S ribosomal RNA". It matches the Rfam family "Bacterial small subunit ribosomal RNA", at positions 524 to 781 of the family's 1533-position model. The record is from RNAcentral.
UACGUAGGGUGCGAGCGUUGUCCGGAAUUAUUGGGCGUAAAGGGCUUGUAGGCGGUCUGUCACGUCGGGAGUGAAAACACGGGGCUUAACCCCGUGCCUGCUUCCGAUACGGGCAGACUAGAGGUAUGCAGGGGAGAACGAAUUCCUGGUGUAGCGGUGAAAUGCGUAGAUAUCUGGAGGAACACCGGUGGCGAAGGCGGCAUCCUGGACCAAUUCUGACGCUGAGGAGCGAAAGCCAGGGGAGCAAAGCGGGAUUAA